CGCUUUCCCUCUCCUGUUACGUAAUGUGAAAACAUUUUUAUUUGAAAACGAAGGAAACCCACUUCAAUCUUCUUCAUCACUACUGAUACAACAGAAUGGGUUUCAAGAAACUGGGUUUGUUCCUUUUCGUGAUAAUCUUGUUUCUGAUUCAUGUUCGUCCUCUGCAUGCACAACCCUCGCUAAAUUCCUCCACUGCUACUACUGGGCUCCAGCGGCUGGUCUUAGUAAACAGGAAGGGUGGAGGAGGUGGCGGCCAUGGAGGUGGUGGCGGCCAUGGAGGUGGCCAUUCAACUGGAAGCGAAGCGCAUGGUGGAGAGGCUAAAGGUAAUGGUGAUGAGGGACAUGGUGCAACUGUAGUCCCUCUUUAUGCUGCUGGGGCUAUGAACCAUCACCAGCACCAUGGUUCUAAUGAAGGCUCCCCGAAAUAUACUGGUUCCCUUUAUUUGGUUAUUGCAGCUUUGGUUGUUGGUAUUCUUUAGUAUUGUGCAUAGCUUGCAGUAACGGUGUUUAUACAGUAGUGGUAUUUAUUGUCUAGAGAUAAUCACAGUCACUUGCUAACAGGUUGAGGUUGUCAUGUUUGUUCUAUCCUUAUCAUGCUGUUGUAAAUUUCUUUUAAUUACGCUUAACUACCUAGCUCUUUGUAACCCAUAAAUACAAUUAUAUCAAAACAUAUCAAUAUAGGGAAAACAUUAUUGCUUCAUCCAUAUGCAAGACUCGGCUCUUACAUUUAUAUUGUCAAAAAUACUACAAUUACGACCAGAUUUUG
This 766-nucleotide unclassified non-coding RNA is filed under the name Hevea brasiliensis (rubber tree). Lineage: Eukaryota; Viridiplantae; Streptophyta; Magnoliopsida; Malpighiales; Euphorbiaceae. The record is from RNAcentral.